RNAcentral lists this ribosomal RNA (558 nucleotides) under Triticum aestivum (bread wheat). RNAcentral describes it as "partial small subunit ribosomal RNA". The record is from RNAcentral. Lineage: Eukaryota; Viridiplantae; Streptophyta; Magnoliopsida; Poales; Poaceae.
AUGGCGUCUUCAUCUCUGUCAGUGGUGCUGCUCCUUCUGUGCCUGGCCGCGGCGGCGUCGGCGCAGAUGUCCCCGAGGUUCUACGACGCGUCGUGCCCCGGGGCGCUGGCCACCAUCAAGAGCGGCGUAGCGUGCAAGCGCACCGUUUCCUGCGCCGACAUCCUCGCCGUUGCCGCUCGCGAUUCCGUCGUCGCGGUAGGAGGGCCGUCAUGGACAGUCUCUCUGGGGAGGAGGGACUCCGACACGGCUAGUGAGACACUGGCCAACCGUGACCUGCCUGCACCAUCACUUAGCGUCACGGACCUCAUCACCCGCUUCGCUGCCAAGGGGCUCAACCACACCGAUAUGGUCGCCCUCUCUGGUGCGCACAUCAUAGGGCGGGUGCAGUGCAAGAACUUGACCAGGCUCUACAGCGAGGAGAACAUUGGCCCGGCCUUGGCGACGUCGCGCCAGGCCACCACUAAUAGAAAACAGGGCUUUGGUUCAGGCCGGGUCAGCCCAUUAGUCCUGGUUCAGUCCAGAACCGGGACCAAUGUGGGCAUUGGUCCCGGUUCGUGA